Molecule: non-coding RNA, 2040 nt
Organism: Drosophila suzukii
Lineage: Eukaryota; Metazoa; Arthropoda; Insecta; Diptera; Drosophilidae
Source: RefSeq, a predicted model, not a curated record
GCGUCUUUCGCAUCUCUGACUGCGACUGCUUUUCGUCUAGCCAAGUGGGCAGCGAAACUGCGUCGCUGCCGCUGCGCAGCUGCUGUUGCUGCUAUUGUUUUUUGUUUUUUUGUUGCUGCUAUAUUUCACUUUUUUUUUUGUUGCUGCCCGCUGCAGUGCAAAUUGUUGCUGGCGGUGCGGAAAUCACAAAAAAUUAGACGACCCCGAUGGACGAACAGCUCCCGUGAUUGCCAUCAUUCUGGAUGCUAGUUUCGCGGGUUCUGGUUGGUUUUCGGUUUGUUUCUGGCUGGUUUUAUUCCCAUUCCCGGGGGUCCCGGGGGGCGUGGCCACCACCCACCCGCCGGCGGGCCAUUAAGAGCAAUUUGUUGACAGUGACACACAAAAAUGGACACACAAAGCGACGCGAGGCGACACAACAGGCUCAGCCAAACAAACAAACCGAGACCAAGCCAAACCAAUAGAAAAAAAUCAGGAAAAAAAAAUAGAAAUGAUAACAUGGAGGGAAAAUCCGAAAAUGUGAGACAAUUCAAUGACAUCAUCAAAUCACUUUAAUUGCAAUCGCCUCGAAGGCGGGGGAAAUGAGUUAGGACGAAGGAUGUUGCUUGGGAAUACUAUAUUUAUGCUCUUGGCACCUUUGAUUUAUUUCCUAUUAUCGAGCAAGUACCCCCAUCUGUUGCUCUUUGAUUCUUCAGCUCCUUUUAGUAUCUCUCAGAUGUCUGCUUCUGAAAAUCAAUGGAUUUGGCAGCUCUUUGUGUUGAAACAGGUUUAAUUGCCAAUGGAUUGGAAAUUAAACAACGAGCUCAACGAGUUAUUACAUUCCUGAUUCCGAUCAUUUUUUGCAUAGUGGCAGCCAAAACAUUGAUUUUUAAGGGCGGAAAAACUGUACUCUUAAAGGUAUGAGAUCUGUCUUCCAAAUUGUAAAUAAAUAAAAAAAACAUCAUGGUAGCUGGGAGAACAGCUUCUCAAUCAGAAUCACUAUACGUAUUAGUAUUCAAUUGAAAAACGUCGUGUAAGGAGAACAAAAUUUUUGUUUUACAAAAAAAAAAUAAAAAGUAUGGACGGAAAAAAGAACGGAAUGGCAACAUGUAAACCAAUUUACAAGUUCCAGAAAGAAGCGAAUAUUACAAUCAAUGGCUACCUCAACUUCCUAAACGAUUGCAAAAAAAGAUUUUGCGGAAUUUCCCCACAGGACUUGAUACGUUUUGGAGCUAGAGAAUGGAACAACUUGCCCCUCCAAGAAAAGGAUCGUUUCAAAAACAUGCGAUUUUGCGGAAUUUCCCCACAGGACGUGAUACGUUUCGGAGAUAGACUCUAACGCACGUAUUUUAAUAAUUGAUACAUAUUUUCAAUAAUUAAGAUAUUUUUCACCUGCCAUAUUCUUAAAUUGUUCCUUUUCCUGAAGGGUGAACUUUUUCCAUUCUCUAGCAACUAGAGAAUGGAAAAAGUUGACUUUUCAGGUGAAGGAACGCUUUUUGAAUAUGGUAAGUGAAAAAUAUCUUAAUUAUGGAAAAUAUGUAGCAAUUAUUAACAUAGCUAGCUGCUAGAGAAUGGAACAAGUUGCCCCUCCAGGAAAAGGAAGACUUCAAAAAGAUGAAACAACCUCAAGUGUUUGGGAGUAAGUUCCAUGGGGACAGCCCCGAUAAAUCUGAGCGGGAGAAACAUAGUCCAGUUCGCUCUCCGUAUUCCCGUGAGUGGGAGUCCAGGAAAAGAAAGGAAAGGAAGCCUUCCAAAUCAGUCAAGAACCAGAUCAAGAAAAAAGCCGAACCUCCUUUUUUUCUGCCAAAAAAACAAUGGCCAACUUCUUUGGCCAACGCAGGUGGUUUUAUAACGUUUAUGCGCAGGUUUAAAAGGAUGAAUAAGGACAUGGCUCCCAAUGAUCUGUUGAAAAAGGCAACUCGUAUUUGGCGCCGUCUGCAUAGAAGCCAGCGCAAGCCAUUGGAGAACCCACUUUGAAUUGUGAGGACUGGAUAGGAAACACUUUUAAGCUUUAGCCGUAAUUCCAAGGAGCCCGAGAGUUCAUACAAUUUUAAAAUAAAAAGA